Molecule: long non-coding RNA, 1428 nt
Filed under: Sparus aurata (gilthead seabream)
Lineage: Eukaryota; Metazoa; Chordata; Actinopteri; Spariformes; Sparidae
Description: lncRNA (ENSSAUG00010022705.1)
Source: RNAcentral
AUUCUGUCUUGCUACUAUUUUUUACUAACAGAAAAGGAGUCUACACUGAAGACUGCUGAGCAGAAUCUCUUGCAAGAGGACCUACCAAAAAGCAAGAAGAGAAAGAGGGUACACAACAAACUUUUCCUGGACACACAAGAGGAAACUGUUGGACAAGCUGCAAAAAAGAAAAACUACAGACUCGUAGCAGCAAGACAGUCUGAAUUAGAGGUUCUUUCCCAAGAAGAACCUAAGCUCAGCCCAGUGGAGACUUCUUCAGAGGCACUUGAGGAGAAGAUCAGGGCCCUCAGGGAAGAGAAUAAAAGACUGCGAGACCAGCAGAGUGUAGCAUCUUCUGCAGCCAGUAAAGAUCUUGAGAUCCGAGUCAAGGCUUUACAGAAGGAGAACACCAGGCUGCGCUUCAUGGCAGUUAAAGAAAUUCCAUCACUCUUGGCAGCUGUGAGAGCCCUCAUUUCAGCUAAGGUCACAGAGAGCUAUGAAGCUGAAGGCGAAUAUGAGGUUUCUCUACCAUCUCCACCUCCUCAACCCACAUCACCCAAACCAACAACAGUGCAACUAGGGAAUGGUGACGCCGCCGCAGUGUCUGCCCAUUGUUGGGAGAUGGCAAAGGCACAAGCCACAGCAAAAGGAAUGGCCCGCACCCUUCUGCUGGGCCUGUUCAGCAUUGACGUCCUGCUCAAUUCCAACCUGACAGGAGGGAUCAACAAGGGCGAUCCCUCUGCGGAAAGACGCCAGCCUCUGGACCCAGAGAAGCUUAAAGCUUUACUCAGUAAGACAGUAAAAAAAAAAAAAGUUUAAUGGAUUAAUAUAUUUUGCUGAAGUUAAGGGUAACAAACACUUUAGGACUGAAAUGUACACACCUAAUAGCGAAACAGAUGGAUUAGAUAAAACGCGUAAACUGCUUUGAUAUUUGAUAUACAAGGAAAAUAUUACCAGUAUUGGGAUUCACCUCAUCUUUACUUUUGCAACAAUCAGAGGCUAACAUUGUGGAUGUCUUGCUCAAUUUCUUAUCUUUUACAGAUGCAGUUGUCCAACAACACCCAAGGGCGAAGAUUCCAGAAAUACGGACGGCAAUAAACAAAGGAUCUGUGAGUUAAGACACCAGGAGAAGAAAAAGUCCAAGGACAACUGAAGGACUGGCCAAUCAGAGCGGGUCUUGAUGUUGGCAGGGAUUGUUGUCCUGUUUUUUUCCACUGAGGGACUGUUGUGUUUUUGUUGCACUGAUUACUGUUUUAUUGUAAUGGACAGUUGUCCUAUUGGACAUGUUUUAUCAGUGUUUCUGUUAAUUUAUUGUUGUGUUGCCAUUGAAAAGUGCCUUUCAUUCUGUGUGUUUCUUUCAGCUGCUGCCUUAACAUUCAGUUAAUGUAAACUAAAGUGGUGUCUUAUUUGAUGUAUAUUUUAUAUUAAAAUAUGACAGACAUUGUACGU